Molecule: ribosomal RNA, 508 nt
Filed under: uncultured Bacillota bacterium
Lineage: Bacteria; Bacillati; Bacillota
Description: uncultured Firmicutes bacterium partial 16S ribosomal RNA
Rfam family: Bacterial small subunit ribosomal RNA
Source: RNAcentral
ACUUUGGGGGAGGCAGCAGUGGGGAAUAUCGCACAAUGGGCGAAAGCCUGAUGGAGCGACGGCGUUUGAGAGAAGAAGUAUUUCGGUAAGUAAAAUUAUAUCAGCAGGGAAGAAAAAUGACGGUACCCAAGGAUUAAGAACCCGGCUAAAUUUGUCCCCCCCCCCGCGGUAAUACGUAGGGGGCAAGCGUUUUUUGGAUUUUUUGGGUGGUAAAAGGGGGUAGGCGGCUUUUCAAUUUUGAUGGGAAAACCCCGGGCUCAACCCCGGGAAUGCAUUGGAAAAUGCUUAGCUAGAGUGUCGGAGAGGUAAGGGGAAUUUCUAGGGUAGCGGGGAAAAGGGUAGAUAUUGGGAGGAACACCAGUGGGGAAGGGGACUUCCUGGGCGAUAACUGACGCUGAGGCUCGAAAACGUGGGGAGCAAACAGGAUUAGAUACCCUGGUAGUCCCCCCCGUAAACGAUGAAUACUAGGUGUGGGGGGGCAAAGCCAUUCGGUGCCGCAGCUAACGCA